CGCCAGCAGCCGCGGUAAUACGGAGGGUGCAAGCGUUGUUCGGAAUUAUUGGGCGUAAAGGGCGCGUAGGCGGUAAUGAAAGUCAGAUGUGAAAUACUUCGGCUCAACUGAAGAACUGCAUCUGAAACUUCAUAACUAGAGUACGGAAGAGGGAAAUGGAAUUCCCGGUGUAGAGGUGAAAUUCGUAGAUAUCGGGAGGAACACCAGUGGCGAAGGCGAUUUCCUGGUCUGGUACUGACGCUGAGGCGCGAAAGUGUGGGGAGCAAACAGGAUUAGAUACCCUGGUAGUCCACACUGUAAACGGUGAACACUAGGUGUGGGAGGUGUAAUACCUUCUGUGCCGUAGUUAACGCGUUAAGUGUUCCGCCUGGGAAGUACGGCCGCAAGGUUGAAACUCAAAGGAAUUGACGGGGGCCCGCACAAGC
RNAcentral lists this ribosomal RNA (425 nucleotides) under uncultured bacterium. RNAcentral describes it as "bacterial SSU rRNA". It matches the Rfam family "Bacterial small subunit ribosomal RNA", at positions 506 to 930 of the family's 1533-position model. The record is from RNAcentral.